AGAAUGCAUUUGGGUUGGCUUGCUCCGGAGUUAUGCGAAGUAGAAACACAAAGCAAACCCCAAGUUGGGAGA
This is a non-coding RNA of Ictidomys tridecemlineatus (thirteen-lined ground squirrel), 72 nucleotides long. The record is from Rfam. NCBI's taxonomy places the organism in Eukaryota, Metazoa, Chordata, Mammalia, Rodentia, Sciuridae.